Molecule: ribosomal RNA, 483 nt
Filed under: uncultured bacterium
Lineage: Bacteria
Description: partial 16S ribosomal RNA
Rfam family: Bacterial small subunit ribosomal RNA
Source: RNAcentral
AUUGAACGCUGGCGGCAGGCCUAACACAUGCAAGUCGAGCGGAUGAAGGGAGCUUGCUCCUGGAUUCAGCGGCGGACGGGUGAGUAAUGCCUAGGAAUCUGCCUGGUAGUGGGGGAUAACGUCCGGAAACGGGCGCUAAUACCGCAUACGUCCUGAGGGAGCAAGUGGGGGAUCUUCGGACCUCACGCUAUCAGAUGAGCCUAGGUCGGAUUAGCUAGUUGGUGGGGUAAAGGCCUACCAAGGCGACGAUCCGUAACUGGUCUGAGAGGAUGAUCAGUCACACUGGAACUGAGACACGGUCCAGACUCCUACGGGAGGCAGCAGUGGGGAAUAUUGGACAAUGGGCGAAAGCCUGAUCCAGCCAUGCCGCGGGUGUGAAGAAGGUCUUCGGAUUGUAAAGCACUUUAAGUUGGGAGGAAGGGCAGUAAGUUAAGACCUGGCUGUUUUGACGUUACCAACAGAAUAAGCACCGGCUAACUUCGU